AUUUUUUGGAGAGCCCAAAUUUGCCACUUCCAAAAUCCUCUCUCUCUCUAAACAAAUUGGUGACAAUUUUUCUUCAUGGCUGGGUGAGAAAGACAAGAUAAAAAAGGCUGAAGAGUCUCUUCGAACCGUCAUGUAUUUGAGUUGUUGGGGCCCUAAUUCAUGAUGUGAAAUUUUCAUUCAAGAAAAUUAAUCAAAGACUUGAAACAUCAUUGAUGCAAGAAAAAAUUUAAGACGGUAUUUCACACCCUACAUCAGAGCGCACAUGGUUAUGAAACGAAUCAUAUGUGUAAUCAACUGUUAUCGACGUCGGCGAAACAUCCAUAUUGUGACAGGUGUUAUUCAUCUUUCACUUCUGAUUUUUUUUAAGACUUUGUUAGUAUAACUACUUAGUGGUGGAUCGAAAAGGAGAUGGUACAUUAGAAGCUAUCGUGAACCGAAAAUGAUGAUGAUUUAAUUUUGAGCGUCUAACUUUGAUACUCUACGAGGCAAUCUUUUUGUAGUUAUUGAUUUAAUUAUUUUGUGCCUCGUUUUUUAUUGGAUUAACUCGCAUUCUGUAAUUAAUUUACAUUUUAGUAACUAAAAAGUUUAUGUUUUCAUUGUUUUGGCAUUAGAAAAUUAUAUUUUAAUUUGUUAGGAGAUUAGCAUUUUUCUGUGUAUUAUUAAUCCAGCCAGUCAGUUUUAACAUUUAACAACUUUUUAUUUCAAGAAAAUUAGACCUUAAACUAAUUGAAUUACUUAACAUUGUUAUAUAUAUGUUUAUACAGAGAGAUAAUCGAUUAAAAUUGGUAUUAAUAUUUCAUCAAAUCGAAAUUUGAAGAUGAGCAUAAACCAAGUGAUAAAUAACACAAAGAUCAAUAAUCAAAACAUUAAAAAGAAGAUGUCUCAUAACUGUCCAAAAAUCCCAUCAUAAAAUACUUGUAGCACACAAGAUGAGGUAAAAAGGUUCAAACAGUUUUGCUAUAUCUUGUUAGGGUGGAAACACAAAGUCAAAACAUAACUAAAACUAAUCGACUGGCUUAGUAAUUUGGUUUUUGUUUUUAUUGCAUAAAUCGUAUGUAUUGGUUAAAAGUUUAAGAAAAUGAAGCCAAAUAUGUAUAUUUUUGUCGAGUAUGUUCACCCUCUCUUUCUUCACUUUCAUAGGUCACCUAUCUCUUAUAGCAACAGCACAAUCUAAGAAUCGUCUUUGUUGCAAUGUCAUUUAAAGGAUUGUCUUCAUAGCAGCACCAUCAAGCCUUCCUGUCACAAUUGUCACUAUCAAGUGUUGCCCUCAUUGCCUUUACAUUAUUAUCGACCAUCAUCUCCUUGCAGUAGCCGUGUCGUCGUAUCGCUUCCUUGACAGUAACAGAAAUUGUCCUCCUCUAUUCUCUUUUUUACUUGAUUUUUUUUCAAAGAAUCUUAUGGCCUCUCAACCCCAUCAACCAUCAACACAAGAGAGUCCAACUAUUGUGUUCAAAAACCAAAUUGAGAAGAUAAUUAAAUCGACAUGAUUAGUUUUUGUGUCUUA
Molecule: long non-coding RNA, 1504 nt
Organism: Cucumis sativus (cucumber)
Lineage: Eukaryota; Viridiplantae; Streptophyta; Magnoliopsida; Cucurbitales; Cucurbitaceae
Exons: 2
Source: RefSeq, a predicted model, not a curated record